CAUCUGAUCAAAUGUUUGAGAAUCCCUGAAGAAUGAAUUAUGAAGAGUUGUAGUGGAACUGUCAGUAGAGUGAGAUUGUGAAAUGCAUGAUGAGAUAGUGACUUGCCGAAGACUUUUUCAACAUUUCAAUCAAUACCUAUCAGAGGAACUACUUCAAAUAAUCUGAAAGAAAGAUGUGACAGGAGGUCACUGAAAAAUUUCAACUGGAGGUGACCUCAAGUCAGUCACUAACUGUGGGGUCUGGAGCUUUUUGGAUAAGUUUGGCAUCAUUGUCCUAGCUGUGGGAUCCACAACCUCGUCUCUGUCUGAUCUAAACUUCUGGAUAAACACUAAAAAGGUGUCUCAUGCAAACCAGGGGAACUCCAUUUUGAACUGAUUAAAUAUUACAAACUGCUUCUAAAGGCUUCAUAUCCAAGGUCUGAAAAUAACACUGUUCCUGUACCUACUUUUACGUCCUAUGUACAUAAUAAAACUAAGUUGAUUCACCUGAAAGUUUACAUAUUGAUUCUGUUCCUUUUUUU
Molecule: long non-coding RNA, 521 nt
Filed under: Phasianus colchicus (ring-necked pheasant)
Lineage: Eukaryota; Metazoa; Chordata; Aves; Galliformes; Phasianidae
Description: lncRNA (ENSPCLG00000003316.1)
Source: RNAcentral